RNAcentral lists this ribosomal RNA (489 nucleotides) under uncultured bacterium. Its description in RNAcentral is "partial 16S ribosomal RNA". It matches the Rfam family "Bacterial small subunit ribosomal RNA", at positions 28 to 507 of the family's 1533-position model. The record is from RNAcentral.
GACGAACGCUGGCGGCGUGCUUAACACAUGCAAGUCGAACGGAAAGGCCCCCAUCUUGGUGGGGGUGCUCGAGUGGCGAACGGGUGAGUAACACGUGGGUGAUCUGCCCUUUACUUCGGGAUAAGCUUGGGAAACUGGGUCUAAUACCGGAUAGGACCAUGGUUUAGAGUCUUAUGGUGGAAAGAUUAUUGUUUUGGUGCAGGAUGAGCUCGCGGCCUAUCAGCUUGUUGGUGGGGUAAUGGCCUACCAAGGCGUCGACGGGUAGCCGGCCUGGGAGGGUGGACGGACUCAUUCGGACUGAGAUUCGGCCCAGACUCCGGAGGGAGGCGGCAGUGGGGUAUAUUGAUCGAUGGGAGCAAGCCUGAUGCAGCGACGCCGCGUGAGGGAGGACGGCCUUCGGGUUGUAAACUCCUUUAGUUAGGAACGAAGCCGUACUUUUUUUGGGUGUGGUGACCGUACCUUUGUUAAGAAGCACCGGCUAACUACGUG